Molecule: unclassified non-coding RNA, 23 nt
Filed under: Mus musculus (house mouse)
Lineage: Eukaryota; Metazoa; Chordata; Mammalia; Rodentia; Muridae
Description: oocyte_clustered_small_RNA6699
Source: RNAcentral
UACAGGACUGCGCUGCUGCCAAA